This 205-nucleotide ribosomal RNA is filed under the name uncultured bacterium. Its description in RNAcentral is "partial 16S ribosomal RNA". It matches the Rfam family "Bacterial small subunit ribosomal RNA", at positions 570 to 774 of the family's 1533-position model. The record is from RNAcentral.
CGUAGGCGGCUUUAUAAGUCGGGGGUGAAAGCCUGUGGCUCAACCACAGAAUUGCCUUCGAUACUGUAGAGCUUGAGACCGGAAGAGGUAAGUGGAACUGCGAGUGUAGAGGUGAAAUUCGUAGAUAUUCGCAAGAACACCAGUGGCGAAGGCGGCUUACUGGUCCGGUUCUGACGCUGAGGCGCGAAAGCGUGGGGAGCAAACA